This 398-nucleotide ribosomal RNA is filed under the name uncultured bacterium. RNAcentral's name for it is "bacterial SSU rRNA". It matches the Rfam family "Bacterial small subunit ribosomal RNA", at positions 29 to 418 of the family's 1533-position model. The record is from RNAcentral.
AAUGAACGCUGGCGGCGCGCCUAAUACAUGCAAGUCGAGCGAGAAGACGUAGCAAUACGUUUGUAAAGCGGCGAACGGGUGAGGAAUACAUGGGUAACCUACCCUCGAGUGGGGAAUAACUAGCCGAAAGGUUAGCUAAUACCGCGUACGCUCCUUGGACUUCGGUUCAGGGAGGAAAGCGAUACCGUGGGUAUCGCGCUCUUGGUUGGGCUCAUGUCCUAUCAGCUUGUUGGUGAGGAACGGCUCACCAAGGCUUCGACGGGUAGCUGGUCUGAGAGGACGAUCAGCCACACUGGCACUGCGACACGGGCCAGACUCCUACGGGAGGCAGCAGUAAGGAAUAUUGCGCAAUGGGCGAAAGCCUGACGCAGCGACGCCGCGUGGGGGAUGAAGGUCUU